AGGACCGAAUCGGACCGGAAUCAGGGAGUUGUCACGGUCGAUCGGACCUGUUGGAGUGGUUGAACCGCCGGCUGUGGUGGGCCUGGGGUCCGUGGAUGGUAAGUGCAUUUAUUACCGAAUGAACCGGCGGUCAGGGAGAGCCAUACGCUCUGAUGGUUCAUUGAUCCGGAGAUCGUCUUGGGCCGCGCUCAUUAAAUGACUGGGUGCAUCGGAGACUUGAGGGAGUCUCAUGCAUUAAUGGCAGGUCGUGCCGAAUACCUGCAGAGAUCUUAUGCCUUGAUGGC
RNAcentral lists this long non-coding RNA (284 nucleotides) under Phoenix dactylifera (date palm). RNAcentral's name for it is "long non-coding RNA (PDAC_LNC012166)". The record is from RNAcentral. Lineage: Eukaryota; Viridiplantae; Streptophyta; Magnoliopsida; Arecales; Arecaceae.